Bactrocera oleae (olive fruit fly) is the source of this 1485-nucleotide RNA transcript. It is a transcript of the gene named transcription elongation factor 1 homolog, with no coding region annotated. The record is from RefSeq and is a predicted model, not a curated record. NCBI's taxonomy places the organism in Eukaryota, Metazoa, Arthropoda, Insecta, Diptera, Tephritidae.
UGGUGUCUACGCGUGCUAAAAAAUAUAACUGGACAAAAAUAUAUAUAUAAAAUCAGGCACACAUCAUGAAUAUUAAUCACAUCAAACAUAUAACAUUAACGAUACAAGUCAAAUCAUAUAGUCUUUAAAUAUUUUUGAUAACAUUUAAAACAUAUAAUGAUAUUUUAAUACAUUAAAAAAUAUUUUGAACAAAACUAUGUAAAUUUAAUCUCUUAGAAUUUUAAUAAUCGAUAAUUUUUUUAAUAAGUAAUAAAAAUAUUCUUAAAGUUAUAGAGCACAAUCGCAGACUUCGGGCAUUUGAACGUUUUGGUAGUAGAAUAGUAGUAGACGAUCCAUACCAAAUGCGGUAUUAGUAGUAGAAUAUUAUGGCGCAACGCGUACAGAAGUUGUAGUUUUGCUAUUUAGUAUUGGUUACUUGUAGGUUGAUACAAUGGUUGUUUGGCAACAGCAAUUGCUAGUGGAGACGCCACGUAAAGUCAUUUCGUUCUGAUAAAUCGAUUUGUUAUUCGUUCUACAUCACUGUUUUGUUUAUAUCUUGAAUUAAAAUGGGACGUCGUAAGUCAAAAAGGAAGCCUCCACCAAAGAAAAAAAAUAUAGAACCUUUGGAUCAGCAGUUUAAUUGCCCAUUUUGUAAUCAUGAAAAAUCCUGCGAAGUAAAAAUCUACUUACGGUAUAUGCAGAGAUCAUCUAAAUCUAACAUUAUAUUUAAGAGCCAACUUCUCCCAAUUGGUGACACCAGCAUGGUACCCAGAAACGUUAAAAUUUUGUGUUUGGAAUGAUUUAGUAUGUCUACUUAUUGUUCAACAUAAAAAUUGACAAUUUCUGCUUAAAUUUUCAAUUUGCUAAACCGUACUGGAUAAAAGUAGAAAUACUGCUAAAGUUACUUGCAGAGUUUGCCUUGAGGAUUUCCAGACGAGUAUCAAUUUUCUGUCAGAGCCUAUUGAUGUGUAUAAUGAUUGGGUAGAUGCUUGUGAAACAGCGAACUAAUUGCCAACUUAUAAUUGCGUAAUCUUAUAAUAAUAUUAUUAUGAGCUAUAUAAUAAGUUUUAGGAAUUAUAUAUAAUUAAAAAUUAAAAAUAAAAUUUUUAAUUUUCUUUUAUCUCUCAUAAAGUUUAUUCAAAACUUAAUUUAAUUAAUGCUUGACUAAACAGAAAGUAUAUAUAAGUCACGAUAUUAAUAUGCUUAUGAAUGCACCAGACAAGCUUUAAAGUUCGUAUAGUUAAAAAAAAAAAACUUUACAAUUCGUUUUCAUUUUUUAUUAUCUUUGAACGAGAAUUAUCCUGGGGUCUGAGAACAGAGGAAAUUUAUGAGCGCCUAAUUCGAGGAACAUGAUGGGUACGGAAAUAAUACGAAGCUUAAUACUAUCUUCAAGUUUUUCAGAAAAUUAUUAAAGAAAAUGGAAAACGAGUAAAAUUUUAAUUAUAAAAUUAUUUUGUACAAAUAUAUUGAAAAAACAAAUAAGCGAACUAGUAAUAUGGAGUUUAG